GGCUAUCUCCCCUUUCUGUAUUUAUAAUAAUCGACUAUUAGCAAAAAUUAGACCUAGCGCUUGUACCCCUAACAUUUAAGCUGUUUUAAAAAUCCCACUUGAAAACAAGUCUCCCCCACCAUAAAAUUACCGAAGACACCAAAACUUCCACCAAGUUCUAAAUGCUUAAGAUGAGAAUUUGGCUGGACUUCCACGCAGAAAAAGAAAAAGAACUUAGCAUCUUAAGAAAACUCUUCAUUAACAUUGUCAAUCCACUACCCCUGAAAAGGACAUCACCUGAAGGAGCAGAAUACCAUAUAUUAUGAUUGCCGCAGAUAAUUACGAACCCUAACAACUGAACGUUGUGACAGGCCUUUCUUUUUGAUUAAACUAUUUACAC
Molecule: long non-coding RNA, 379 nt
Organism: Zophobas morio
Lineage: Eukaryota; Metazoa; Arthropoda; Insecta; Coleoptera; Tenebrionidae
Exons: 3
Source: RefSeq, a predicted model, not a curated record